This is a long non-coding RNA of Oncorhynchus masou masou (cherry salmon), 690 nucleotides long. RefSeq lists it as uncharacterized. NCBI's taxonomy places the organism in Eukaryota, Metazoa, Chordata, Actinopteri, Salmoniformes, Salmonidae. The transcript has 4 exons. The record is from RefSeq and is a predicted model, not a curated record.
AAAGGGUAUGAAGACAAGUCCAGAUUUCUCAGUCAAAAAAACAAUUCUUCCACUUUGAAAGUGUGGAGUAGGUUGUGUCGAUCAGUGAAACAAAAUUUAAUGCAUUUUUAUUUUAUUUUAAGGAAGGAAAAAUGUGAACUGCAGGGGCAUUUGACUGACGGUACAGAGGUCAUCUUCUUUGAUGCCCGUUUGGACCGAGUCAGGACGUUUACUGCUUGUGACCCUUGGAGGAAGAAGAGUUCCACAUUUCUUCUCCGUCCUUCUCAACGACCAGGUUGCCGUCGUUACGCAGGCGGUAGGCGUCGCGCUGUCCCGCGGUGUCAGAGGACCACAUCUGCCUCCAGCCAUAGAUGACAAAGUUACCGUCCUCCUGUGCAGAUGACAUAAAGGGUUGUGAAAUUUGCUCAAGGACCACGGUGAAGAUGACGUUAUUGAAUGUCUCGCCAGCUUUGAUCCAUGCCUGGGCAUGCAGGACGCAAAGUUAUUUGUUUGUCAGAUGAAUCGUUGGAUCAAAACUACAAAACAAGAGAACACACACAUGGUUAAUGUUCUGAGAAUUAAAAAAUGUAUAAAACAUUUCUUUCUGAGCCGUGAUGCCCGCAGUUUACAGAUUGCCUUUGCCGAUCGCUCAUUAUCUUCAUUCAUCAGUGAGUCAAUGGCCUUAAUAGUCAUUGACUCACUCACGCGUUG